CCUACGGGAGGCAGCAGUGGGGAAUAUUGCACAAUGGGCGGAAGCCUGAUGCAGCAACGCCGCGUGCGGGAUGACGGCCUUCGGGUUGUAAACCGCUUUCGCCUGUGACGAAGCGUGAGUGACGGUAAUGGGUAAAGAAGCACCGGCUAACUACGUGCCAGCAGCCGCGGUGAUACGUAGGGUGCGAGCGUUGUCCGGAUUUAUUGGGCGUAAAGGGCUCGUAGGUGGUUGAUCGCGUCGGAAGUGUAAUCUUGGGGCUUAACCCUGAGCGUGCUUUCGAUACGGGUUGACUUGAGGAAGGUAGGGGAGAAUGGAAUUCCUGGUGGAGCGGUGGAAUGCGCAGAUAUCAGGAGGAACACCAGUGGCGAAGGCGGUUCUCUGGGCCUUUCCUGACGCUGAGGAGCGAAAGCGUGGGGAGCGAACAGGAUUAGAUACCCUUG
This 440-nucleotide ribosomal RNA is filed under the name uncultured bacterium. RNAcentral's name for it is "bacterial SSU rRNA". It matches the Rfam family "Bacterial small subunit ribosomal RNA", at positions 338 to 790 of the family's 1533-position model. The record is from RNAcentral.